GGUUCAAUCCCCGGACAGGGAGCCA
RNAcentral lists this unclassified non-coding RNA (25 nucleotides) under Dictyostelium discoideum. The record is from RNAcentral. Lineage: Eukaryota; Evosea; Eumycetozoa; Dictyosteliales; Dictyosteliaceae.